RNAcentral lists this ribosomal RNA (440 nucleotides) under uncultured bacterium. RNAcentral's name for it is "partial 16S ribosomal RNA". It matches the Rfam family "Bacterial small subunit ribosomal RNA", at positions 338 to 795 of the family's 1533-position model. The record is from RNAcentral.
CCUACGGGUGGCAGCAGUGAGGAAUAUUGGUCAAUGGGGGAAACCCUGAUGCAGCGACGCCGCGUGGGUGAAGAAGCGCCUCGGCGCGUAAAGCCCUGUCAGCAGGGAAGAAAAUGACGGUACCUGAAGAAGAAGCCCCGGCUAACUACGUGCCAGCAGCCGCGGUAAUACGUAGGGGGCAAGCGUUAUCCGGAUUUACUGGGUGUAAAGGGGGCGCAGACGGCGAUGCAAGCCAGGUGUGAAAGCCCGGGGCCCAACCCCGGGACUGCUCUUGGAACUGCGUGGCGAGAGUGCAGGAGGGGCAGGCGGAAUUCCUGGUGUAGCGGUGAAAUGCGUAGAUAUCAGGAGGAACACCGGUGGCGAAGGCGGCCUGCUGGACUACAACUGACGUUGAGGCCCGAAAGCGUGGGGAGCAAACAGGAUUAGAUACCCGAGUAGUC